Molecule: non-coding RNA, 106 nt
Organism: Dentipellis sp. KUC8613
Lineage: Eukaryota; Fungi; Basidiomycota; Agaricomycetes; Russulales; Hericiaceae
Source: the annotation of a GenBank genome assembly
GGCCUGGUGGUCUAGUAGUAUGAUUCCUUCUUCGGGUUGAACUUGUGCCCCAGAACACUGUUCUGCUGAUUGGAGGAGGUCCCGGGUUCAAUUCCCGGCCAGGCCC